GGAAGUAAAAGUUGUAACAAGGUUUCCGUAGAUGAACCUGCGGAAGGAUCUUUAUUGUAUAACCGAGGUGCGAGGGCUGUCGCUGACCCGAAAGGUCGUGCACGCCCGAGUGCCCUCACACACAUCCAUCUCACCCCUAUGUGCACCACCGCGUGGGUCCCCCUUUGGCUUGUUCGGAGGGGGGCUUACGUUUUCACACAAACUUUGUAUGCAGUGUAGAAUGUAUUUUUUGUUUUUGCGAUCACGCAAUCAAUACAACUUUCAACAACGGAUCUCUUGGCUCUC
Molecule: unclassified non-coding RNA, 285 nt
Filed under: plant metagenome
Description: partial contains small subunit ribosomal RNA, internal transcribed spacer 1, and 5.8S ribosomal RNA
Rfam family: Eukaryotic small subunit ribosomal RNA (bases 1-54)
Source: RNAcentral